AAAUUGAAGAGUUUGAUCAUGGCUCAGAUUGAACGCUGGCGGCAGGCCUAACACAUGCAAGUCGAACGGUAACAGGAAACAGCUUGCUGUUUCGCUGACGAGUGGCGGACGGGUGAGUAAUGUCUGGGAAACUGCCUGAUGGAGGGGGAUAACUACUGGAAACGGUAGCUAAUACCGCAUAACGUCGCAAGACCAAAGAGGGGGACCUUCGGGCCUCUUGCCAUCGGAUGUGCCCAGAUGGGAUUAGCUAGUAGGUGGGGUAACGGCUCACCUAGGCGACGAUCCCUAGCUGGUCUGAGAGGAUGACCAGCCACACUGGAACUGAGACACGGUCCAGACUCCUACGGGAGGCAGCAGUGGGGAAUAUUGCACAAUGGGCGCAAGCCUGAUGCAGCCAUGCCGCGUGUAUGAAGAAGGCCUUCGGGUUGUAAAGUACUUUCAGCGGGGAGGAAGGGAGUAAAGUUAAUACCUUUGCUCAUUGACGUUACCCGCAGAAGAAGCACCGGCUAACUCCGUGCCAGCAGCCGCGGUAAUACGGAGGGUGCAAGCGUUAAUCGGAAUUACUGGGCGUAAAGCGCACGCAGGCGGUUUGUUAAGUCAGAUGUGAAAUCCCCGGGCUCAACCUGGGAACUGCAUCUGAUACUGGCAAGCUUGAGUCUCGUAGAGGGGGGUAGAAUUCCAGGUGUAGCGGUGAAAUGCGUAGAGAUCUGGAGGAAUACCGGUGGCGAAGGCGGCCCCCUGGACGAAGACUGACGCUCAGGUGCGAAAGCGUGGGGAGCAAACAGGAUUAGAUACCCUGGUAGUCCACGCUGUAAACGAUGUCGACUUGGAGGUUGUGCCCUUGAGGUGUGGCUUCCGGAGCUAACGCGUUAAGUCGACCGCCUGGGGAGUACGACCGCAAGGUUAAAACUCAAAUGAAUUGACGGGGGCCCGCACAAGCGGUGGAGCAUGUGGUUUAAUUCGAUGCAACGCGAAGAACCUUACCUGGUCUUGACAUCCACGGAAGUUUUCAGAGAUGAGAAUGUGCCUUCGGGAACCGUGAGACAGGUGCUGCAUGGCUGUCGUCAGCUCGUGUUGUGAAAUGUUGGGUUAAGUCCCGCAACGAGCGCAACCCUUAUCCUUUGUUGCCAGCGGUCCGGCCGGGAACUCAAAGGAGACUGCCAGUGAUAAACUGGAGGAAGGUGGGGAUGACGUCAAGUCAUCAUGGCCCUUACGACCAGGGCUACACACGUGCUACAAUGGCGCAUACAAAGAGAAGCGACCUCGCGAGAGCAAGCGGACCUCAUAAAGUGCGUCGUAGUCCGGAUUGGAGUCUGCAACUCGACUCCAUGAAGUCGGAAUCGCUAGUAAUCGUGGAUCAGAAUGCCACGGUGAAUACGUUCCCGGGCCUUGUACACACCGCCCGUCACACCAUGGGAGUGGGUUGCAAAAGAAGUAGGUAGCUUAACCUUCGGGAGGGCGCUUACCACUUUGUGAUUCAUGACUGGGGUGAAGUCGUAACAAGGUAACCGUAGGGGAACCUGCGGUUGGAUCACCUCCUUACCUUAAAGAAGC
Molecule: ribosomal RNA, 1554 nt
Filed under: Shigella flexneri
Lineage: Bacteria; Pseudomonadati; Pseudomonadota; Gammaproteobacteria; Enterobacterales; Enterobacteriaceae
Also listed under: 2 other names
Description: bacterial SSU rRNA
Rfam family: Bacterial small subunit ribosomal RNA
Source: RNAcentral